Molecule: non-coding RNA, 275 nt
Organism: Peromyscus maniculatus bairdii (prairie deer mouse)
Lineage: Eukaryota; Metazoa; Chordata; Mammalia; Rodentia; Cricetidae
Source: RefSeq, a predicted model, not a curated record
CUGAGCACCCCACUUCCCACACAUGCACACCGUGUAGCCACUACAGGUGACAGCUUGCACCCCACCUCACCCUUGUGCAUCUCUGCCUAUGCUGUCAUUGUCAUCAGAUGUGGAAAAUAAAAGCAUCCAACUGAGGAAUCUGAUGACCCACUAGACAAAUGAGACAUCUGAAGAAGGACAAAUCAUCCAGAUAAAAUGCCCCCAAGCAAAAGAAUAAAUUGGCCUAAUAGUGUAACACACUUCCAAUAGAAUAAAGUCUCAUAAUACUUUGCAAA